UCUACCUAGAGAGUGUAGGGAUCUGAGAAAAUAGUGAGAGCCUAAUUUGUUUAAAAAUAAAAUUUUUAAAUAAAUUGGUUAAGUCUGAUUAUAAAAUCUAACUAGAAACUUUUGACUCUCUAUAGGAAACAUGUCUCCGUCCAACCUCCUGACUAAAAUAUUAGACACCCACAGAUUGACUAGACCCAAUUUCAAGGACUGGUUGAGAAACUACAGAAUUGUUCUGAAUUUUGAGAAACUGACUCAUGUCUUGGACCAGGACCUACCUGCCAU
Molecule: long non-coding RNA, 273 nt
Filed under: Elaeis guineensis (African oil palm)
Lineage: Eukaryota; Viridiplantae; Streptophyta; Magnoliopsida; Arecales; Arecaceae
Description: long non-coding RNA (EGUI_LNC059087)
Source: RNAcentral